AGAGUUUGAUCCUGGCUCAGAAUGAACGCUGGCGGCGUGCUUAACACAUGCAAGUCGAACGAUGAAGCCUAGCUUGCUAGGUGGAUUAGUGGCGCACGGGUGAGUAAUAUAUAGGUAACGUGCCUCUUAGUCUGGGAUAGCCAUUGGAAACGAUGAUUAAUACUGGAUACUCCUUCUAACUCUAAUGUUAGUCGGGAAAGUUUUUCGCUAAGAGAUCGGCCUAUUUCCCAUCAGCUUGUUGGUAGUGUAAGAGACUACCAAGGCUAUGACGGGUAGCGGGUUUGAGAGGAUGAUCCGCCACACUGGUACUGAGACACGGACCAGACUCCUACGGGAGGCAGCAGUGAGGAAUAUUGCACAAUGGACGAAAGUCUGAUGCAGCAACGCCGCGUGGAGGAUGACACAUUUCGGUGCGUAAACUCCUUUUAUAUGAGAAGAAAAUGACGGUAUCAUAUGAAUAAGCGCCGGCUAACUCCGUGCCAGCAGCCGCGGUAAUACGGAGGGCGCAAGCGUUACUCGGAAUCACUGGGCGUAAAGAGCGUGUAGGCGGGUAUUUAAGUUGGAAGUGAAAUCCUAUGGCUCAACCAUAGAACUGCUUCCAAAACUGAAUACCUAGAAUAUGGGAGAGGUAGAUGGAAUUUCUGGUGUAGGGGUAAAUCCGUAGAGAUCAGAAGGAAUACCGAUUGGGAAGGCGAUUUACUGGAACCUUAUUGACGCUGAGACGCGAAAGCGUGGGGAGCAAACAGGAUUAGAUACCCUGGUAGUCCACGCCCUAAACGAUGUACCUUAGUUGUUGCGAUGCUAGACAUUGCAGUAAUGCAGUUAACACAUUAAAUGUACCGCCUGGGGAGUACGGUCGCAAGAUUAAAACUCAAAGGAAUAGACGGGGACCCGCACAAGCGGUGGAGCAUGUGGUUUAAUUCGACGAUACGCGAAGAACCUUACCUGGCCUUGACAUAGAAAGAAUUUAGCAGAGAUGUAAAAGUGCUAGUUUACUAGAGCUUUCAUACAGGUGCUGCACGGCUGUCGUCAGCUCGUGUCGUGAGAUGUUAGGUUAAGUCCUGCAACGAGCGCAACCCUCGUGUUUAGUUACUAACAGUUCGGCUGAGGACUCUAGACAUACUGCCUGGGCAACCAGGAGGAAGGUGAGGACGACGUCAAGUCAUCAUGGCCCUUACGGCCAGGGCUACACACGUGCUACAAUGGGGCGUACAGAGAGUUGCGAUACCGCGAGGUGGAGCCAAUCUCAUAAAGCGUCUCUCAGUUCGGAUUGAAGUCUGCAACUCGACUUCAUGAAGCUGGAAUCACUAGUAAUCGUAGAUCAGCAAUGCUACGGUGAAUACGUUCCCGGGUCUUGUACUCACCGCCCGUCACACCAUGGGAGUUGAUUUCACCCGAAAUUGGGAAGCUAACCUUCGGGGGGCUACCACUUACGGUGGAAUUAGCGACUGGGGUGAAGUCGUAACAAGGUAACC
Molecule: ribosomal RNA, 1475 nt
Filed under: uncultured bacterium
Lineage: Bacteria
Description: 16S ribosomal RNA
Rfam family: Bacterial small subunit ribosomal RNA
Source: RNAcentral